RNAcentral lists this long non-coding RNA (662 nucleotides) under Vulpes vulpes (red fox). Its description in RNAcentral is "lncRNA (ENSVVUG00000007965.1)". The record is from RNAcentral. Lineage: Eukaryota; Metazoa; Chordata; Mammalia; Carnivora; Canidae.
ACUAUCAUUUGAGGAAAUGGUUGGGGAAUUUGACAUUAAAAGGCUGGACCUCUCACCAAGAAAGACUGAGAACCACUGCUCAGGAUGAUUCUUUUCCAGUUGCAACAUCGAGCCAGAGAGUGCUUACCUUUUGAGGGAAUCACAGAGUGCUGAGGUUUACUGAAUGCAAACUAUAUACCAAGCACUGAGCUACUUAAUCAGAUCACAGUACUACAAAGGCAAGUUUGUCUUGGCCAUCAGGAAAAUUCUACUAUUGACAGACACUCAAAAAAGAUAUUACACAGUCCAUUGAUUAAAGCAUCUGCUUUUCCCACUCCUUCAGGGAAGAAGUAAAACACAAGAUAAAUCAUCCAUAGAUUUUAUUUCCUGAAUAAGAAGGAAGCUUUCAAAGAAGGGGAUUUAAAGAAGCAGGUCUUCAAAAUAGGUGGAAGAAACAUGAGUCAGUGUGGUAUUAUGAAAGAACUUCAGAUUGCAAACUUCUUAAAGGCCAGAACCAUAUGUUCUCAUAAGUGACAGCAGUAAUGAGGGAAGAUGAUGUUCAUCUUAAGUAUAAAGCCAACUGAGUUGGAAACCAAGUUUCUUCAUGUACCAUGCCCACUUUCAUCCUUAUACUUUCCUUAUCUGUGUCUUUUAUUAAAAAAAAAUCAAUACACAGAUCUUAC